This is a long non-coding RNA of Astatotilapia calliptera (eastern happy), 1791 nucleotides long. The record is from Ensembl. NCBI's taxonomy places the organism in Eukaryota, Metazoa, Chordata, Actinopteri, Cichliformes, Cichlidae.
GGGGGGAGAUAGGCCUCCAUACCUUGGAGGGCCUGAGAUGUUCCUAGAGAGGUGGCUCUGAUACCCAACCUGACAUAUAGACACAAACAAACAAGCACACACAGAUACAAACAUCCAUUCCCACCCUCAUGCUCUCACAUGAAAUUACUCAACACUCACCCAACGUGGAGACAGACAGAAAAUAGACACAGUACACACAAUCACACUCCCCAAGCGCACUCUAUACCCCAGGUCUAGGUACCCUUGCCCCUGGAGGGGGAAAAUGCACCCAGACCCAGGUAGUGUUAAUGUUUGCUGUUGGCUCAUGUUACUCAGUAGAGUUCAGCAGGCAUAUUAUGUUUAAUGUUUAUUUUUCUCUCAAGUGAAACACUGCAAAUGUCACUGAGGAAGUGUUGCUUGGCAUUCUUUUUUUAAUUCUUUUUGUUUUCAUAGAUCCAAUUUAACAAUAAGCUGUUCAUAAUAUUCCAAUUAAAAAAAUUCAACAAAGACCCAUGACUGUCAUGGGCAGCUAAAAUCCAAACAAGAAUUGGACAUAAUUCCUCUCAAACUAUAGCAACUGGUCUCAUCAUUUCUUACAAGAUUAUGAACUAUUGUUGAAUGAAGAGAAUGAAGUGACUGGAUUAAUACUUGGGCAGGAACCUGUUUGCAUCACAUUGUAAUAGACAUGGAACCUCUGACAUAAUUUCUUGUGACCUCUGUCCACUGUUGUCACUGUGUUGAGAUCAUCACUCUUGCUGUGAUCUUUCCUAGAAUUUAACCAAGACAUCUUGACAUCAAAACCUUACCAAUCCUCUAUAAAAACUCUUUUGCAGUGUUGUAUGAUGUAUUUGAGUUAAUUGCAUCAAUGUACAGUAAUAUUGUAUGUCUAAAAUCUAGGAUGAAAUUGUGUUCAUUUUCAAUUACUCCGUAAAAACAUGGUGAAAUUAACAUGGUUACAAUCUGUAUAACACACAACAUAAAAAAGGCUACACAUGUGUAGCUUAUAAACCUUUGUGUGACGUUUGUUAUAUAUGUAGUAGUUAUAUGCUUCCAUGUUAAAUUUGUAUCUGUAAAUGAAAACACUGCAACCAGUCAUGUGUACUGAAAGGACAUUUUCUAUUGUGGCAACACCAUCAACUUGUUUAAAGACGUGAAAUUAUGAAAAAGGGGGAAGAGGGGAGGAAGGAAAUCUGUCAGACAGACACAAAUGGCCAAGACAGAGCUCAGAGAGGGACUCAAGUCUCUCAGCCCUUUCAGAGAUGCGAAUAUUAAAUAUGUACCUCAUGUAGGGAUCAACGUAAUUUUUCAGUCUUGACCCAUAUUCGGUUCUUCAGUAUUAAUCAAUGUUAGUGUUAUUGUUGUUACUUUAGCAGACUGACAACCUAAAAACUAUAUUCAGGUCUUCAAAUAAUAUAUUCAGCCCACUGAAUUCCUGUCAUGGUCCCUGUGCCUGCCCAGCCGGCCUCACAAGGCUACACUUGUGUUUUUGCUUUUUCUCUCUCUCCCCUACCUCUCUGCCUGGGCGGAGCUCACAGCUGGCUCCCACCCUUGGCUCACACAGCUGUUGGCGAUCAGCUGAUUACCGAUCUACUAUUUGAGGCUGGGUCACAGAUCCUCUCAUCGCUGGAUGAUUGAGCUACUGACUUUAUCUUCCCGGACCUGUGACCUCCCCGCAGUACGGACGUGUGUGAGUCGGAUGUGAGGACGUGAGCGAGCGUGAGAGAGAGAGCCUUCCCCUAAUCCCCUGGAACCCUGGACUUUCCCCGUCACUGUAUAUAGUAUUUAACUGGUGUGUAAAUAAAUCGUGUUCUG